RNAcentral lists this ribosomal RNA (277 nucleotides) under Clostridioides difficile. RNAcentral describes it as "partial 16S ribosomal RNA". It matches the Rfam family "Bacterial small subunit ribosomal RNA", at positions 167 to 444 of the family's 1533-position model. The record is from RNAcentral. Lineage: Bacteria; Bacillati; Bacillota; Clostridia; Peptostreptococcales; Peptostreptococcaceae.
UACGGGAUAACAUAUUUGAGAGGCAUCUCUUAAAUAUCAAAGGUGAGCCAGUACAGGAUGGACCCGCGUCUGAUUAGCUAGUUGGUAAGGUAACGGCUUACCAAGGCGACGAUCAGUAGCCGACCUGAGAGGGUGAUCGGCCACAUUGGAACUGAGACACGGUCCAAACUCCUACGGGAGGCAGCAGUGGGGAAUAUUGCACAAUGGGCGAAAGCCUGAUGCAGCAACGCCGCGUGAGUGAUGAAGGCCUUCGGGUCGUAAAACUCUGUCCUCAAGG